GACGAACGCUGGCGGCGUGCCUAAUACAUGCAAGUUGAGCGCUGAAGGUUGGUACUUGUACCAACUGGAUGAGCAGCGAACGGGUGAGUAACGCGUGGGGAAUCUGCCUUUGAGCGGGGGACAACAUUUGGAAACGAAUGCUAAUACCGCAUAAAAACUUUAAACACAAGUUUUAAGUUUGAAAGAUGCAAUUGCAUCACUCAAAGAUGAUCCCGCGUUGUAUUAGCUAGUUGGUGAGGUAAAGGCCCACCAAGGCGAUGAUACAUAGCCGACCUGAGAGGGUGAUCGGCCACAUUGGGACUGGGACACGGCCCAAACUCCUACGGGAGGCAGCAGUAGGGAAUCUUCGGCAAUGGACGAAAGUCUGACCGAGCAACGCCGCGUGAGUGAAGAAGGUUUUCGGAUCGUAAAACUCUGUUGGUAGAGAAGAACGUUGGUGAGAGUGGAAAGCUCAUCAAGUGACGGUAACUACCCAGAAAGGGACGGCUAACUACGUG
Molecule: ribosomal RNA, 497 nt
Filed under: uncultured bacterium
Lineage: Bacteria
Description: partial 16S ribosomal RNA
Rfam family: Bacterial small subunit ribosomal RNA
Source: RNAcentral